CCUACGGGUGGCAGCAGUAGGGAAUAUUGCUCAAUGGGGGAAACCCUGAAGCAGCAACGCCGCGUGGAGGAUGAAGGUUUUCGGAUUGUAAACUCCUUUUGUUAGAGAAGAUAAUGACGGUAUCUAACGAAUAAGCACCGGCUAACUCCGUGCCAGCAGCCGCGGUAAUACGGAAGGUGCAAGCGUUACUCGGAAUCACUGGGCGUAAAGAGCGCGUAGGCGGGAUAGCAAGUCAGAUGUGAAAUCCUAUGGCUUAACCAUAGAACUGCAUUUGAAACUGUUAUUCUAGAGUAUGGGAGAGGUAGGUGGAAUGCGUGGUGUAGGGGUAAAAUGCGUAGAGAUCAAGAGGAAUACUCAGUGCGAAGGCGACCUGCUAGAACAUAACUGACGCUGAUGCGCGAAAGCGUGGGGAGCAAACAGGAUUAGAUACCCUAGUAGUC
RNAcentral lists this ribosomal RNA (440 nucleotides) under uncultured bacterium. RNAcentral's name for it is "partial 16S ribosomal RNA". It matches the Rfam family "Bacterial small subunit ribosomal RNA", at positions 338 to 795 of the family's 1533-position model. The record is from RNAcentral.